GACGAACGCUGGCGGCGUGCUUAACACAUGCAAGUCGAACGGUGAAGCGCCUUCCUUUUUGGUGGGUGUGGAUGAGUGGCGAACGGGUGAGUAACACGUGAGUAACCUGCCCCCUUCUUCUGGAUAACCGCAUGAAAGUGUGGCUAAUACGGGAUAUUCUGGGUCUGUCGCAUGAUGGGUCUGGGAAAGAUAUUGUUUCGGUGGGGGAUGGGCUCGCGGCCUAUCAGCUUGUUGGUGGGGUGAUGGCCUACCAAGGCGGUGACGGGUAGCCGGCCUGAGAGGGUGGACGGUCACACUGGGACGGAGACACGGACCAGACUCCUACGGGAGGCAGCAGUGGGGAAUAUGACACAAUGGGCGCAAGCCUGAUGCAGCGACGCCGCGAGAGGGAUGGAGGCCUUCGGGUUGUGAACCUCUUUCGCCAGUGAAGCAGGCCUGCCUCGUUUGUGGGUGGGUUGACGGUAGCUGGAUAAGAAGCGCCGGCUAACUACGUG
This 494-nucleotide ribosomal RNA is filed under the name uncultured bacterium. RNAcentral describes it as "partial 16S ribosomal RNA". It matches the Rfam family "Bacterial small subunit ribosomal RNA", at positions 28 to 507 of the family's 1533-position model. The record is from RNAcentral.